AAGCGCUUGCAACCAGACUUGCACGUAGUUAAUCAACCGGUGUUCUCACUGGUGCACUUGAUUGCGUUCAGGCCAGCAUCGGUUUCGGUGGUUGGACAAAGGCCGGGGGAAUGUGGCUUCUUUCGGGGAGUGUUAUAGCCCUCGGUGCAAUGCAGCCUACCGGGACCGAGGACCGCGCUUCGGCUAGGAUGCUGGCGUAAUGGUUGUAAGCGA
RNAcentral lists this ribosomal RNA (213 nucleotides) under Coniochaeta mutabilis. Its description in RNAcentral is "partial large subunit ribosomal RNA". The record is from RNAcentral. Lineage: Eukaryota; Fungi; Ascomycota; Sordariomycetes; Coniochaetales; Coniochaetaceae.